ACCCAGCUGAGAUUUCAGCAUUUCCAUGCAGACUCCUCCCUUAUACCUGUUCUUCUUUCCGCACUUGGGACUCUGCCAGCACUUGGCAUUUAAUCAGCCACAGUGGAUUUAAGUGUUUCACUUGUGAGUGGCUUAUCUCCCACAUUACACUAGAUAUUCCUUGAGGGCACUGACCAGCCUCCUGCAUCCGUCCGUCAGCUUGGCCCAGCCACAGCUCUGUCUCUUCUUGGACUCCAAAAUGGUCCCCAGCUUGCUUCAGAGAGCUCACAGCCAAGAUGACAAGUGAGACCAUCAACCAUCAGUCCACUACCACCCUCAUAUCAUUGUUUUAUAUGUAUGAGAACCACCAUCAUCAUGGCAGUUACCUCCAAUUCAGCACCUUUUACAGAUCAUCACCAGGCAGUUAGACAGGCACAAGCCGCGCAGGAGAGGGCUCUCCCACCAUCCACUAGGAAUGUUGGGUGAUGGUUUGGUAAUGAUCACAUUCCCUCUCUAAAAUUUAUAAACUCGCAGCCAACACCAGAGACAGAGAUCAUUUCCUGAUGAUCCACACCUUUUGCACCAAAGUGUUAAUUGAAUGCAGGUGCCGGGGGAGACUGAGGCAGAAGAAUCGCUUGAACCCAGAAGGUGGAGGUUGCAGUGAGCAGAGAUCGCGCCACUGCCCUCCAACCAGGGUGACAGAGCGAGACUCCGUCUCAAAAAAAAGAAAAAAAGAAAAGAAAGAAAGAAAAGAAAAGAGACAAAAUGGCAGAGUCUGACCUUCGGACCUUCGGGGCACUCUGCUGGAAAAGCGAUGAUGGGCAUGUGCACCACUUCCUAAACACAUUGCGCAUGCUCACCUCCGGAGGGUAAGGAAGGCGCGGUGGGUGCGGGCAGCCCACCCCAAGGGAAGAAUCAUGGGAAAAGGGCCAGCCUAUAAAGUCCUAGGAUCAUCGCACUUGUCCUCGGUGCCCACUUGGGUCUCUUCCAAGUGUACUUUCCUUUCCUUUCUUUCCUGUUCUAAAGCAUUUAAAGAAACUUUUACUCCUGCUCUGAAACUUGCCUUGGGCUCCUUUUCUGCCUUAUGCCCCUCUGUCAAAUUCUUUCUCCUGAAGAGGCAAGAAUUGAGGUUGUUGCAGACCCAUACGGAUUCACCACCCGGUACCUUCCAUGGGAUACUUUACGCUGGUAACAUGUUCCCAUUUCACAAAUAAGGUUCAUGGAGGUUUGCCCAAAUGCAUGGGAAAUGUGAGGCUGGGACCCAAGGUGUGAGUGCAUUUUGCUCCUUCAAGUUACUGGUAACUUGGUUGGUAAAAGAAAUACUAAUUCUUUGCUUUCCUCAUUUACCCUCACUCCCUUCCCUAAGUUACUAUGUUCCCGGUUUUGCUUCCAGCAGCUUCUCACUCAGCUGCCAUGCAUUGACUUCCCUGUUGAUCCAGCCUACUGCGGACCCAAAUAUUCCUGUUGCCAGAUAGGAGGGAUGAGUAAUGGAGACUCCAGUCCUCAGAGACCUUGAUCAAGUAAAGCAAAAACCCCUUCCUCCACUUUCUUUGCAAGUGGCUAAACCCUUAGUCACUCUGGGAAGAAAAGUAAACUGAAAACUUGAAAAAGUCCCAAGACAGAAUCUAACUCCAUCCCCUGCCCCAGAUAAAAAGCAAGAUAGCACAACUAUAGCAACCUUUUAAGUCAAAUUAAAUGAGCUAAUAAAAAUCAGGCCUGUUCAAGUGCCCAAUUGAUUUAAACAUGAAGAUUGUCAGUUUCCAGCAUCACUGAUUCUAAUCCAACAACCCUCACCAUAGAGGUCUUCAUUCAGCCUGCUGUGUUUGGAGGUUUUGCUUAUUGGGUGUGUAUCUGUAAGGUAAAUCUUGACGAUUUCCUUACUACAGACAAUUAUCUGGCUGGAGAUGUC
This 1888-nucleotide long non-coding RNA is filed under the name Homo sapiens (human). RNAcentral describes it as "HSALNT0069584". Lineage: Eukaryota; Metazoa; Chordata; Mammalia; Primates; Hominidae. The record is from RNAcentral.